Molecule: ribosomal RNA, 565 nt
Filed under: uncultured Glomeromycotina
Lineage: Eukaryota; Fungi; Glomeromycota
Description: SSU rRNA
Rfam family: Eukaryotic small subunit ribosomal RNA
Source: RNAcentral
UUGGAGGGCAAGUCUGGUGCCAGCAGCCGCGGUAAUUCCAGCUCCAAUAGCGUAUAUUAAAGUUGUUGCAGUUAAAAAGCUCGUAGUUGAAUUUCGGGGUUAGUGGGUUGGUCAUGCCUCUGGUAUGUACUGGUCUCACUGAUUCCUCCUUCCUGAUGAGCCGUAAUGCCAUUAAUUUGGUGUUGCGGGGAAUUUGGACUGUUACUUUGAAAAAAUUAGAGUGUUUAAAGCAAGCUAACGCUUGAAUACAUUAGCAUGGAAUAAUGAAAUAGGACGUUCGAUCCUAUUUUGUUGGUUUCUAGGAUUGACGUAAUGAUUAAUAGGGAUAGUUGGGGGCAUUAGUAUUCAAUUGUCAGAGGUGAAAUUCUUGGAUUUAUUGAAGACUAACUACUGCGAAAGCAUUUGCCAAGGAUGUUUUCAUUAAUCAAGAACGAAAGUUAGGGGAUCGAAGACGAUCAGAUACCGUCGUAGUCUUAACCAUAAACUAUGCCGACUAGGGAUCGGAUGAUGUUAAUUUUUUAAUGACUCAUUCGGCGCCUUACGGGAAACCAAAGUGUUUGGGUUC